UCCUGACUGACCGAUAGUGAACCAGUACCGUGAGGGAAAGGCGAAAAGAACCCCGGCGAGGGGAGUGAAAAAGAACCUGAAACCGUGUACGUACAAGCAGUGGGAGCACGCUUAGGCGUGUGACUGCGUACCUUUUGUAUAAUGGGUCAGCGACUUAUAUUCUGUAGCAAGGUUAACCGAAUAGGGGAGCCGAAGGGAAACCGAGUCUUAACUGGGCGUUAAGUUGCAGGGUAUAGACCCGAAACCCGGUGAUCUAGCCAUGGGCAGGUUGAAGGUUGGGUAACACUAACUGGAGGACCGAACCGACUAAUGUUGAAAAAUUAGCGGAUGACUUGUGGCUGGGGGUGAAAGGCCAAUCAAACCGGGAGAUAGCUGGUUCUCCCCGAAAGCUAUUUAGGUAGCGCCUCGUGAAUUCAUCUCCGGGGGUAGAGCACUGUUUCGGCAAGGGGGUCAUCCCGACUUACCAACCCGAUGCAAACUGCGAAUACCGGAGAAUGUUAUCACGGGAGACACACGGCGGGUGCUAACGUCCGUCGUGAAGAGGGAAACAACCCAGACCGCCAGCUAAGGUCCCAAAGUCAUGGUUAAGUGGGAAACGAUGUGGGAAGGCCCAGACAGCCAGGAUGUUGGCUUAGAAGCAGCCAUCAUUUAAAGAAAGCGUAAUAGCUCACUGGUCGAGUCGGCCUGCGCGGAAGAUGUAACGGGGCUAAACCAUGCACCGAAGCUGCGGCAGCGACGCUUAUGCGUUGUUGGGUAGGGGAGCGUUCUGUAAGCCUGCGAAGGUGUGCUGUGAGGCAUGCUGGAGGUAUCAGAAGUGCGAAUGCUGACAUAAGUAACGAUAAAGCGGGUGAAAAGCCCGCUCGCCGGAAGACCAAGGGUUCCUGUCCAACGUUAAUCGGGGCAGGGUGAGUCGACCCCUAAGGCGAGGCCGAAAGGCGUAGUCGAUGGGAAACAGGUUAAUAUUCCUGUACUUGGUGUUACUGCG
Molecule: ribosomal RNA, 985 nt
Filed under: Shigella sonnei
Lineage: Bacteria; Pseudomonadati; Pseudomonadota; Gammaproteobacteria; Enterobacterales; Enterobacteriaceae
Description: partial 23S ribosomal RNA
Rfam family: Bacterial large subunit ribosomal RNA
Source: RNAcentral